Molecule: ribosomal RNA, 253 nt
Filed under: uncultured bacterium
Lineage: Bacteria
Description: partial 16S ribosomal RNA
Rfam family: Bacterial small subunit ribosomal RNA
Source: RNAcentral
UACGAAGGGGGCUAGCGUUGCUCGGAAUCACUGGGCGUAAAGGGCGCGUAGGCGGGCCACCAAGUCAGGGGUGAAAUCCCACGGCUCAACCGUGGAAGUGCCCUUGAUACUGGUGGCCUCGAGGGAGGCAGGGGCGUGCGGAACUUUGGGUGGAGCGGUGAAAUGCGUAGAUAUCCAAAGGAACACCGGUGGCGAGAGCGGCGCGCUGGACCUCUUCUGACGCUGAGGCGCGAAAGCCAGGGGAGCAAACGGG